This 282-nucleotide long non-coding RNA is filed under the name Homo sapiens (human). Its description in RNAcentral is "HSALNT0381812". The record is from RNAcentral. Lineage: Eukaryota; Metazoa; Chordata; Mammalia; Primates; Hominidae.
CCUAGAUGUCAGAAAGAGUGCUGAAACCUCCAUGGGUCCUCAUAUAACUUCCCUGGGCAUAAAGGACCCCUUAAGAAGGGUAUGGUGGAUGGAAGCUUGGAUGGGAGGAAAGAGUCAUUGACAAGUGUACUCUAUCAACAAAACUGGCCGCUACAAGUGCAAAAAGCUGAAUGAAAAAUGGAAAGGUUACUGCUGAAAUAUUUACAGAUGGAAGGAUAUGAUGUCUAGAAUUUGUUUCAAACAAGACGAGGUCUUACUACCAUAGCCCAGGCUGGGCUCAAC